Molecule: transfer RNA, 71 nt
Filed under: Prototheca moriformis
Lineage: Eukaryota; Viridiplantae; Chlorophyta; Trebouxiophyceae; Chlorellales; Chlorellaceae
Also listed under: 1 other name
Description: tRNA-Cys
Rfam family: tRNA
About the family: Transfer RNA (tRNA) molecules are approximately 80 nucleotides in length.
Source: RNAcentral
GGUGAUAUGGUCUAAUGGUAUGGCAAGGGACUGCAAAUCCUUUGAUUUCAGUUCGAAUCUGAAUAUCACCU